Lates calcarifer (barramundi perch) is the source of this 784-nucleotide long non-coding RNA. RefSeq lists it as uncharacterized. NCBI's taxonomy places the organism in Eukaryota, Metazoa, Chordata, Actinopteri, Centropomidae. The transcript has 6 exons. The record is from RefSeq and is a predicted model, not a curated record.
AGGGGUUGUGGGUACGACGCCAGCUGAGCCAGGAUGCCCGUCACCAGCAGGUUUACAGCGAUGGAGUUUUCCAGAAGGUUCUCAAGUCGGGACAACAGGACACUGAUGAACGGACCUGUGACGCCAUGGAAAACUACAAGUACACCGGGCACCAGGAGGGCAUGAGAAGCAGGAAGGAGGCAGCGCUAGAGGAGUAACAGUCUCUCUGCUUUAAGGAGGAGCGCUGCUUCCUGCUCAGGUGGCUACAGGGAAUCAGAUACCUGAGGACACAAAGACGGACCCAGCUAAGUCCCAGCAUGGAUCACUACAGCAACAUGCAGAACAGACCAAUCAGAGUCCUGAACAGAGCCAGCGACACUGUACCCAACUGACGGACACACAAAAGGCCAAAGGUCAUCUCACUUAUUCAGCAGGAUGAAGGACAGGAAGGUCUGGAGGAGGGCGGGCUCAGAGAUGGAGCGCAGGAACAGGUCCAGGUACGCUGUUGUGGUCAUCACCUCCUCCACAGUCAGCUAAACCCAGAAAUAGCAGGAGCCAGUACAGGAACCAGGAAGCCAUUAUAGAUGUAAGCCAGCAACUGAGACCGGAUGGAGGGAUGAGCGACCUGAGAGUAACAGAUAAAGACAGACAGUGAGUGACGUCACCUUGGUAACAGUGCUACAGAAGUCCAGUGAGUGCAGGAAGUGGACGAGAGCUGGAACCUGUUGACCCAAACAAGAGAGUGACGCAUCGUCCAUCCAUCGUUAAUCAAAUUCAUCCAACUAUUUAUCCAUUUAAAAGUCAU